RNAcentral lists this non-coding RNA (22 nucleotides) under Rattus norvegicus (Norway rat). The record is from RNAcentral. Lineage: Eukaryota; Metazoa; Chordata; Mammalia; Rodentia; Muridae.
CACAGAAAUGACCUACAAAGCC